This 72-nucleotide transfer RNA is filed under the name Hungatella hathewayi. Its description in RNAcentral is "tRNA-Ile". It matches the Rfam family "tRNA". Rfam says of the family: Transfer RNA (tRNA) molecules are approximately 80 nucleotides in length. Lineage: Bacteria; Bacillati; Bacillota; Clostridia; Lachnospirales; Lachnospiraceae. The record is from RNAcentral. RNAcentral also lists the same sequence under 1 other name.
CGGAACAUAGCUCAGCGGGAGAGCGGCGGUCUUAUAAGCCGUGUGUCUUGGGUCCGAUUCCCAAUGUUCCGA